This 325-nucleotide ribosomal RNA is filed under the name Pseudo-nitzschia fraudulenta. RNAcentral describes it as "LSU rRNA". It matches the Rfam family "Eukaryotic large subunit ribosomal RNA", at positions 207 to 544 of the family's 3401-position model. Lineage: Eukaryota; Bacillariophyta; Bacillariophyceae; Bacillariales; Bacillariaceae. The record is from RNAcentral.
AGAGGGUGAAACUCCCGUCCGCCUGGUAGAAUGAGUCUUUGUCAACGAGUCGAGUUGUUUGGGAUUGCAGCUCUAAUUUGGUGGUAAAUUCCAUCUAAAGCUAAAUAUUGGUGGGAGACCGAUAGCAUACAAGUACCGUGAGGGAAAGAUGCAAAGAACUUUGAAAAGAGAGUUAAAGAGCACCUGAAAUUGCUGAAACGGAAGCGAAGGAAACCAGUGUUUGUUGGUUCAUAUUUCCUUGGCCACUUGUGGUUUGGGCGCUGUGGGCUUGCGUGGGUUUGGGUUGGUUGAUCCCUUUGGAAGAGCGCAGUCAGAGUUGAUGUCU